Molecule: ribozyme, 117 nt
Filed under: Aedes aegypti (yellow fever mosquito)
Lineage: Eukaryota; Metazoa; Arthropoda; Insecta; Diptera; Culicidae
Description: drz-agam-1 ribozyme
Rfam family: drz-agam-1 ribozyme
Source: Rfam by way of RNAcentral
UGCCCAGCAAAUCCUAUCCCUACCUCCUCGUGGUACUGACCGGGGUACGAGUAACCUUGGGGAAGAUCGGGUAACCAACCCCCGGUGGGAACUUUGGUCGUAUGCUGACAGGGAAGG